This 72-nucleotide transfer RNA is filed under the name archaeon. Its description in RNAcentral is "tRNA-Trp". It matches the Rfam family "tRNA". From Rfam's summary of the family: Transfer RNA (tRNA) molecules are approximately 80 nucleotides in length. Their secondary structure includes four short double-helical elements and three loops (D, anti-codon, and T loops). The record is from RNAcentral.
GGGGGGUUAGCUUAAUGGUAGAGCGUCAGAUUCCAGUCCUGAAGGUUGGGAGUUCGAUUCUCUCACUCCUCA